RNAcentral lists this ribosomal RNA (459 nucleotides) under uncultured bacterium. RNAcentral's name for it is "bacterial SSU rRNA". It matches the Rfam family "Bacterial small subunit ribosomal RNA", at positions 29 to 534 of the family's 1533-position model. The record is from RNAcentral.
AACGAACGCUGGCGGCAUGCCUAACACAUGCAAGUCGAACGAGACCUUCGGGUCUAGUGGCGCACGGGUGCGUAACGCGUGGGAAUCUGCCCUUGGGUUCGGAAUAACUUCGGGAAACUGAAGCUAAUACCGGAUGAUGACGUAAGUCCAAAGAUUUAUCGCCCAAGGAUGAGCCCGCGUAGGAUUAGCUAGUUGGUGAGGUAAAGGCUCACCAAGGCGACGAUCCUUAGCUGGUCUGAGAGGAUGAUCAGCCACACUGGGACUGAGACACGGCCCAGACUCCUACGGGAGGCAGCAGUGGGGAAUAUUGGACAAUGGGCGAAAGCCUGAUCCAGCAAUGCCGCGUGAGUGAUGAAGGCCUUAGGGUUGUAAAGCUCUUUACCCGGGAUGAUAAUGACAGUACCGGGAGAAUAAGCUCCGGCUAACUCCGUGCCAGCAGCCGCGGUAAAGUGACAUGUG